AAUGAACGCUGGCGGUGUGCUUAACACAUGCAAGUCGAACGAUAAAGCACAGCUUGCUGGGUGGUUUAGUGGCGAACUGGUGAGUAACACGUGAGUAACCUGCACUUAACUCUGGGAUAAGCCUGGGCGACUGGGUCUAAUACCGGAUAGGAGCGUCGACCGCAUGGUGGGUGUUGGAAAGAUUUAUAGGUUUUGGAUGGAAUUGCGGCCUAUUAGCUUGUUGGUGGGGUAAUGGCUCACGCAGGCGACGACGGAUAGCCGGCCUUAGAGGGUGACCGGCCACACUGGUACUAAGACACGGCCCAGACUCGUACGGUGGGCAGCAGUGGGGAAUAUUGCACAAUGGGCGCAAGCCGGAUGCAGCGACGCCGCGUGAGGGAUGACGGCCUGCGGGUUGUAAACCGCUGUCAGUAGAGAAGAAGCGAAAGUGACGGUACCUGCAGAAGAAGCACCGGCUAACUACGUG
Molecule: ribosomal RNA, 466 nt
Filed under: uncultured bacterium
Lineage: Bacteria
Description: partial 16S ribosomal RNA
Rfam family: Bacterial small subunit ribosomal RNA
Source: RNAcentral